GCUCCUGCAAGUGGUGGAAUGUCAGCCGGUGUUCUCCUACAUCGACGACCCGGCAAACACCUCCUACGCGCUCCUCCUCCAACUCCGGGAAGUUCUCGUGGAAAAGUCGCUGACCAGCGAAGAGGACAAGGAUGGGUACUUCGUAUUCAAGAAGAUAACCGAGUUCACGAAUGACCUGAAGGUGAGAGUGGCCAAGGACGUAGAGGUGGCCAGGGAGAAGUUCGAGAAGGGUGAGUACUUGGUCGGAAAGAGAAUCGGAAAGUGCAGGACUAAUGGAGUGUACCAACUGGUGAGGAAUGUUGCCCAGACGGAAAUAUUGACCGGAGAGAAGAAGGUGAGUCCCGGCGAGUGCAUCGAGAAAGUGUACGAUUGCAUACUGCAAGGUAAACUUGAGGAUGUGCUGGUUAAGUGUCUGAGCAUGUGGAAAGGAAUGGCCGGACCAUUUUCGCCCAGGCCGGAUCUCAUGUCGCCGGUAUACAAGAAUCCAGAUACCUGGGGUUGGUUCGACAACAUGAGGUCCCCAUCGUCGACCAGCGGAAGAGGUUUUUGGAGCAAGUGAUCAAUAAUUAAUUAAUUAUAUACUUGAAUAAUUAUAAG
This 597-nucleotide long non-coding RNA is filed under the name Zostera marina. Its description in RNAcentral is "long non-coding RNA (ZMAR_LNC004419)". The record is from RNAcentral. Lineage: Eukaryota; Viridiplantae; Streptophyta; Magnoliopsida; Alismatales; Zosteraceae.